UACAGAGGGGGCAAGCGUUAUUCGGAAUUAUUGGGCGUAAAGGGCGCGUAGGCGGCCGCCUAAGUCAGACGUGAAAUCCCUCGGCUCAACCGGGGAACUGCGUCUGAUACUGGGUGGCUUGAAUCCGGGAGAGGGAUGCGGAAUUCCAGGUGUAGCGGUGAAAUGCGUAGAUAUCUGGAGGAACACCGGUGGCGAAGGCGGCAUCCUGGACCGGCAUUGACGCUGAGGCGCGAAAGCCAGGGGAGCAAACGGG
RNAcentral lists this ribosomal RNA (253 nucleotides) under uncultured bacterium. RNAcentral describes it as "partial 16S ribosomal RNA". It matches the Rfam family "Bacterial small subunit ribosomal RNA", at positions 524 to 776 of the family's 1533-position model. The record is from RNAcentral.